CCUACGGGAGGCAGCAGUGGGGAAUAUUGGGCAAUGGAGGAAACUCUGACCCAGCAACGCCGCGUGAAUGAUGAAGGUCUUCGGAUUGUAAAGUUCUUUUCUAAGGGAAGAAGAAAGUGACGGUACCUUAGGAAUAAGCCUCGGCUAACUACGUGCCAGCAGCCGCGGUAAUACGUAGGAGGCGAGCGUUAUCCGGAAUGACUGGGCGUAAAGGGUGCGUAGGUGGUUUGGCAAGUUAGUAGCGUAACUCCAAGGCUCAACCUUGGAACUACUACUAAAACUGUUGGACUUGAGUGCAGGAGGGGCAACCGGAAUUCCUAGUGUAGCGGUGGAAUGCUUAGAUAUCAGGAGGAACAUCGGUGGCGUAAGCGCUUUACUGGGCCGUAAUUGACGCUGAGGAACGAAAGCCAGGGUAGCAAAUGGGAUUAGAUACCCGAGUAGUC
RNAcentral lists this ribosomal RNA (443 nucleotides) under uncultured bacterium. RNAcentral's name for it is "partial 16S ribosomal RNA". It matches the Rfam family "Bacterial small subunit ribosomal RNA", at positions 338 to 795 of the family's 1533-position model. The record is from RNAcentral.